AAGGGUAUAGCUCAGUGGUAGAGCACAUACUUAGCAUGUACAGGGUCCUGGGUUCAAUCCCCAGUACCUCCU
This 72-nucleotide transfer RNA is filed under the name Camelus bactrianus (Bactrian camel). It matches the Rfam family "tRNA". Rfam says of the family: Transfer RNA (tRNA) molecules are approximately 80 nucleotides in length. Lineage: Eukaryota; Metazoa; Chordata; Mammalia; Artiodactyla; Camelidae. RNAcentral also lists the same sequence under 2 other names. The record is from Rfam by way of RNAcentral.